RNAcentral lists this ribosomal RNA (156 nucleotides) under Senecio incrassatus. RNAcentral's name for it is "5.8S ribosomal RNA". It matches the Rfam family "5.8S ribosomal RNA". From Rfam's summary of the family: 5.8S ribosomal RNA (5.8S rRNA) is a component of the large subunit of the eukaryotic ribosome. It is transcribed by RNA polymerase I as part of the 45S precursor that also contains 18S and 28S rRNA. The record is from RNAcentral. Lineage: Eukaryota; Viridiplantae; Streptophyta; Magnoliopsida; Asterales; Asteraceae.
UCUCGGCAACGGAUAUCUCGGCUCACGCAUCGAUGAAGAACGUAGCAAAAUGCGAUACUUGGUGUGAAUUGCAGAAUCCCGUGAACCAUCGAGUUUUUGAACGCAAGUUGCGCCCGAAGCCUUUUGGCCGAGGGCACGUCUGCCUGGGCGUCACAC